Molecule: ribosomal RNA, 521 nt
Filed under: uncultured Glomeraceae
Lineage: Eukaryota; Fungi; Glomeromycota; Glomeromycetes; Glomerales; Glomeraceae
Description: SSU rRNA
Rfam family: Eukaryotic small subunit ribosomal RNA
Source: RNAcentral
AGCAGCCGCGGUAAUUCCAGCUCCAAUAGCGUAUAUUAAAGUUGUUGCAGUUAAAAAGCUCGUAGUUGAAUUUCGGGAUCAAUACGUCGGUCGUGCUUCGGUACGUACUGGCGUCAUUGAUUUCUCCCUUCUGACGAACCAUGAUGUCAUUAACUUGGUGUCAUGGGAAAUCAGGACUGUUACUUUGAAAAAAUUAGAGUGUUUAAAGCAGGCUCACGCUUGAAUACAUUAGCAUGGAAUAAUGAAAUAGGACGUUCGAUCCUAUUUUGUUGGUUUCUAGGAUUGACGUAAUGAUUAAUAGGGAUAGUUGGGGGCAUUAGUAUUCAAUUGUCAGAGGUGAAAUUCUUGGAUUUAUUGAAGACUAACUACUGCGAAAGCAUUUGCCAAGGAUGUUUUCAUUAAUCAAGAACGAAAGUUAGGGGAUCGAAGACGAUCAGAUACCGUCGUAGUCUUAACCAUAAACUAUGCCGACUAGGGAUCGGAUGAUGUUAAUUUUUUAAUGACUCAUUCGGCGCCUUACG